Molecule: long non-coding RNA, 1980 nt
Organism: Cavia porcellus (domestic guinea pig)
Lineage: Eukaryota; Metazoa; Chordata; Mammalia; Rodentia; Caviidae
Exons: 8
Source: RefSeq, a predicted model, not a curated record
AGUCCCGUGGCGCCCUAGCCCAGAGCGGCCCCCUGGGGGCGCGGUUCGGCCCGGGCGUCGGAGGGGCCGCAGACGGUGCUGGGGAGCCUGCGCGUCGGCGCCUUCAUUGGUUUCCCGGUUGGUUCUCGCGCUGGUUGCUGGCUUCUGGUGCCGGCGGGGAGGCGCGGCCUCUCGCCUGAAGGCGGGAAAGAGAACCUGAGCUGCGGCCCAGUCUCUGUGGAUGGAUGCGCUGCCAGCUUCUCGUCUGGGACUCUUGAGAACUUCUGCUGUGAAUAUCAGUGUACAGAUAUCCUUUCGGUAUCUGGGUUUGUCCUUUGGUAUAUGUUCCCAGAAGUGAAAUUGCUGGAUCUAUGGCAGCACUUCUAGAUGAGAGUCUGUGCAGAUCAGCUGCAGCAUGCUUUUUAUAUGCAGUGCAUGGGGUCAUGAAGAAGUAAAACAACUCUACAUCUGACGAAUGUCUACUGACGUCUAGACCAAGAUAAAUAAAGUCUACCUUUAUCUGACUGUCAUCACAGACUAAUAGAGUCAGUUCUACUCCACUCAGCGUGGACCUGCUGGAUAUCUAAUUUUCCAGAGUCCCAUUUGAGGAGGUCAAGGAGCAUAUUUGUUGAGUAGCUACCUUGGUGGAGCCACACACAUGACCCCUGUCAAUCUUAUAUCCACAUCACGUCAGUACCGUACACGUUCUUCAUCAGCAACUCGAAGGCAUCAAGAAUAACCAAACUUACACGAAAAGUCAGAGGUUUACAGUGCUACAGAGUGAGUCGAUUUCUUCACUGAUAGUGUGAUUGGUCACAUGGCUCCUUAAAAAAUGUACAAUGUGGAACAGAUCUCAUUUCUUAAGGACUUCUCAAAAUGGUCCAGCCUGGGGCCAGGACCCACUUUAGUAUGCUCUACAGUGGAAAAGCCUCACGUGGCAGCUGGUGUUUCUUCCCGUGUCACCACAUCUCCCUCAGCUGUCUUCAGCCGUCAUGGAGCCUGCUCUUCUUGUGUCUGGAGCUGAAUCUGCUCCGCUUCUCUACUGAGGACCCAUGGGAGGGAAUCUGGAGCCUAUGCAGACAACCCAGGAUAAGGUUUUCCCCUCAGACUCCUUCAUCUAAUCCCACCACUUGCCAUGGAAGGCAGUGCUCCCAGGUUCUGGUUCUGAAGAAGGGGACACAUUCCUUUGGCCACCAUUCAGCCCACUGGCAAUGACAGUGUGACAGCUAUAAUAAGGGACACUGAGCUGAUUCUUCAGGACAGUCAAGAAAGGGUUGGCAUAAAAAAAAUAACAACAAAACUGAAAAUAAGUGAGUCCUAACGCCCAUGAAAUUGACAGGGUAUCCCAGGUAUAGAAGGCUCCAUAACAAUCAAGAGAAUUCAGAACCUAUUCAGGGUGAGACCAAAUUCUAGAGUGUAAGACAUCUGAGAAAGAAUUUUGAUACAAAUGAUCCACAGAGAGCAGGUAAACAGAGAGUCUUAGAAAUAAUCACUUGUAUGUUUAUCUUAAUAUAUAUUAAGCUAUUUAAGAGAAUAGAAAAAAAUUUGCCCCAUAAUGUCAUGAUCAGAGGGUCUAAAGGAGAGUUCUCUGCCAGUUUCUACAAAGCUGAAAUGUGGCCGUCAAUUUGUCUACUAGUUAAACCAUGCAGAGGAUUAGUUUUUCUUUUAAACAUCAUAGCCAAAAUCCUCAUUAAGAUAUUAAGCAUAUGAAAUUCUUCAUAAUGCUAUCAAAGGUGGCAUUUAAUUUAAUAAUUAGGUAGACUGAAUAGAUUAUUUGCAAUGGUGAGAAUCUCGAAUAUUUCAGCCACUGUAGCUCCUAAUGCUAUAAUACAUAUAAAUAAGGGAAAAUUAUUUGAGCAUUGAGAAACAUGUGUUUGAAUUUUCAUUUGGUAUCAAUUCUAAAAGUAAAGGAAAAAUGCUUCUGCAAGCAUAAGAUUAAAUUUAGUUGAGUGUUUUGUAAGCAUUGUUUUCUUAAAUAAAAAAAGUAAAAUUAUGCCCAGA